CGCAAUUAAUAAACCCUAGAUAAUAAAAUUGCGUUACUGUUCAUCAUCUCUCCUAUUCGUGGCUGCUCUUCCGGUUCCGCAGAACAGGGCUCCCACUUUGGGGGGGCCCAAAUCGCUGCGAUCGGAGAACCUAGGGCGUGCGAUUUCCCCCAAUCCAAUCGAUAAGGAAAUCCAAGCUUCCUUUACCUCCACUUCCCUCAGCAAGAGCCGAUCUUUCUAGAUCCUUCUAACCCUAUCUUUCAUCUACCUCUUCUUCUUCCUCCUCUCUUAGUUCCCUUCCCUCCUCUCCCACCCCUCCUCCUCCUCCGCCGUCUCCACCUCUACCGCGGGCGAUGCCCUCCGCAGCGAGCAGGAGAUCGACUUCAAGUUCGCGCCAAGACGCCCCUCUCAUGUCGUCCACACCUCAACGCAGGCUUCUUCUUCUCCGUCCCUGAAAUCAUCCUCUUUUCCUACUCAUCGUUGAGCUCCCUUCGUCUCCGGCCUAAGAUUCAGAGAUUACGGAGCGGACGCAAUCAAGCACAACUUCUUCCGAGAUUCAGAGAACUGAACAAUCUGUCUCCGUCACCCGCCGAUAAGGUAUAUGAAAUUACUGGUCAGAUCAGCUUAUCGUGCUUUAAGGGCUAUAACAAGCUAACCAAAUCACAGAAAAUCGAGUGGAAUAACCGAUGAAAAAAGUUUAUGAUAGAUUUUUUGCUUACUGUUCACUUCUUCAUUAUUUAUGUAAACGAAUCAUCGAAUUACUUCUUCCUAUAGGGGGUUUUCUACAUUCCAUUCAAUUGUUGCUGCAGCAGUUUCUUUCUAUUUGCUAGUUUUAUCGGAUACUUUCAAAAGAGUUCUUGCAGAUCUUGCAGGUCAAAAGAGUUCUACACUUCACAUUUACAAUGGUGUAGCCAUGUUUGUCGGUUGGCUGAACGAAGUCACGCCCAGGUCCUGCCAAUAUUCUCUCUUUAGCCUGGAAAAAUGGCCAAGGAUAUAGGUUUCAAAGGUAAAGUAUGUGUAACAGGUGCUUCUGGCUUCAUUGCUUCUUGGUUAAUACAGCGACUACUUGAAUCGGAGUAUCAUGUUACAGGAACAGUCAGAAAUCCAGGUCCUGUCAUCUCUUUCUUUAGUUGUAAUUUACUUUUCUAAAGAGUUAUAGUUUCUUAGUUAUCAACAUGACCAGUUUUUGGGCAGUGGCUGCUGGUACACGAAGCUUUGUAUGAGUUUAGAUUUGUGAAGCUGUCUUCUGUUGUAUAUGUAAAUUUGUAGUUUGAUUGGAUAAAUUCUUGUUUUUUCUAAUAGGAGAUUACAAGAAAGUCACGCACUUGUGGGAGUUAGAAGGAGCGUCAGAGAGGCUUCAGUUAGUGAAAGCUGAUUUGAUGGAGAUGGGUAGCUUUGAUGAUGCUGUAAUGGAUUGUGAGGGAGUCUUCCAUACGGCAUCUCCCGUCUGUGAAGUGAAAUCGAAUCCCAACGCACUACAUAUUUACCUUUCCAGUGUUUCUAUAUGUGUAUACUUAUCACAUUCUACAUGCUUGAUAUAUCACAUUCUAGUUUUCUAGAUGCUGAAAGCUUCAAGCUUAAGUAAAUGAUCAGUGAGAAAACCUAGUUUUACUUGGUUAAAACUAUUGAUAAAUUAAUGCUAAGAUGAGAAUAAAGCAUUCUACAGUGCUUUGCAUAGUACCUUGCAAGAUCCACAAGGACCAUAUAUUGCCAUGAAUGCAUCUUAAUGUAGCAUAAUUUUUGCAGGCUGAGAUCGUUUAUCCUGCAGUUAAUGGUACUCUAAAUGUGUUGCGAUCUUGCGAGAAAAAUCCAGCACUUAGAAGGGUUGUUCUCACACCAUCCUCAUGUGCAAUAAGGACGAGAGACGAUAUUGACCCGAUAGUUCCAUUCGAUGAAUCAUCUUGUGCCUCUGUGGAAAUUUGUGAGAGGCUUGGGAUAUGGUAUGCCCUGGG
Molecule: RNA transcript, 1931 nt
Organism: Asparagus officinalis (garden asparagus)
Lineage: Eukaryota; Viridiplantae; Streptophyta; Magnoliopsida; Asparagales; Asparagaceae
Gene name: tetraketide alpha-pyrone reductase 1-like
Exons: 5
Source: RefSeq, a predicted model, not a curated record